GGGGACGUAAGGCUUUCGACAGGAGUUUAUAAGUGCUGUUGUCACAAAUCGUUUUUUAGUUCGUAAAACUAAAACACAGAUAAGUGUAGAAAACAAACUAAACGCUUUUGCAAGUAAACUAAGGGCUGCUUUUAGCAUGCCUUCUUAUGCUUACAAUUUUGCAUAAGUUUGACUGAUUAAGUUUGGUCAAUGUCUAUAUCCUCUUUCCCUAGUUAGUGGUUAUAGACAGUCGUUACUAGGGUAUAGUAAGUAUUUCUUGUCAGUAGGGGAUAUUUAGUGAAUAUAAUUACUGAGUAAACUUAACUUUUUGUUAGAUUUUUUAGUUAGGUUUAGCUAUACAAAUCUAAAUAUAUUUGGAAAUGACACUGUACUUAGCUUUUGGACGUGGGUUCAACUCCCACCGUCUCCACCA
Molecule: transfer-messenger RNA, 412 nt
Filed under: Candidatus Dojkabacteria
Lineage: Bacteria
Also listed under: 3 other names
Description: UBA12044 sp000989675 Standard tmRNA
Rfam family: transfer-messenger RNA
About the family: Bacterial tmRNA, also known as 10Sa RNA or SsrA, is named for its dual tRNA and mRNA-like properties. Its role is to liberate the mRNA from a stalled ribosome. To accomplish this part of the tmRNA is used as a reading frame that ends in a translation stop signal.
Source: RNAcentral